Long non-coding RNA from Benincasa hispida (wax gourd), 1273 nucleotides. RefSeq lists it as uncharacterized. The record is from RefSeq and is a predicted model, not a curated record. Lineage: Eukaryota; Viridiplantae; Streptophyta; Magnoliopsida; Cucurbitales; Cucurbitaceae.
UAAAAUAAAAUUUGUAUCAAAUGAGGUAUUCAUAAAUCAACCAAGAAAAACCAAAUAAAUUUAGAUCUAAGAGAACUCAUCCAAGAAAAACAGAGGGAGGAGAUGUGCGGGGUGACUAGGGCGGCGACGUGAGGCUGGAACGGUAGUGAAGUGCGCAUGUCGGUGGGAAGUUUGGGUGGUGUGGGAUGAAGAUGGAAAAAAAAUGAGAAUGGGAAGGGAAGGAAAAGGGAAAUAGAGGGAGAAGAAGAGGGGACGAUGGCAACAAAUAGCUAGGACGACGACAUGGACUAGAACUGCAGGGGAAGGAGGCUGUCGGCAAGAAGUUUAAGCGGUGGUGUGAUGAAAAUGCAAAAAUGAUAAGAAGAAAGUGAGGAAAAGAAAAGUGAAGGAAAAGGAAAAUAGAGGGAGGAGAAGAGGAGAAAGAAAAUGAAUUCUCACCUGCUGCAUUUGAAGGUUCUGGUUGUUUAGACUUCUUAUCCUUCCCAUUUUGCUUUCUUUUGAGAGACAAGCAGUCCUUUUUCCAGUGUCUUUCUUUAUGACAGUGAGGAGAGUUCAAUCAAGAAGAAAAGAGGCAGAGGAGGAAGACAAUUUCUAAGAUAGAUUAAUCAAGAAUUGAUGAAGAAGGUAAAGAGAGAUCGAGAGAGAACAUAAAGUUUAAGUGGUUCGGCUAUCAACCUACAUCCACUGUGCAAAAGGAGAAAUCAACUUUAUUCAAGAAGAAGAAUUACAAGUUUGAUGGAAUCCCGUUGAAGCUGAUUCAAUGAAGCAAUUCCUAACGGUCGGUCGGUUGCCUUGAAGCUUUGUCGUUUUGUUUUGUGUCUUUGCCGAAAACCACAAGUGUGUCAAUCCUCAGGAUUGUGGAAAUUCUUUGUUGUAGAUUUUGAGGUGUUUCUAUAGAUCAUCUUGAAGUAUGAUUCGUUACUUAAGAAGGAAUUCUCAAACUUAGGAGAAGUCUAAGCUCAUCAAGUGGAGCGGUUUUCAUUUGAAGGUGGAAAGAUAGAAGUUGAGAGGGAGUCUCUCAUACUUAGGGGGAGCCUAAGUGAUUAUUCACUAAUAUUCUUAUUCUUAGGGGGAACCUAAGUACAUGGAUGGUGGAGCCUAAAUUUCAUUGAGAGAGAGUCUCACAUUUAGGAGAAAUCUAAGUGAUCUUGCAAGAAGUUAAGGUAUUUGUGUGUCAUUGUAAUCACUGUCUUUAUAGAUAAGUACAAUGUUGUAAUUACUUAACAUUAUAUUAGUGAAAAUAUCUUUCCACAAACACACUGCUGUCUAAACA